GAUGAACGCUAGCGGCAGGCCUAACACAUGCAAGUCGAGGGGUAUUAGGAGCUUGCUCCUAAGAGACCGGCGCACGGGUGCGUAACGCGUAUGCAAUCUACCUUUUACAGGGGAAUAGCCCAGAGAAAUUUGGAUUAAUGCCCCAUAGUAUAUAUUAUUCGCAUGUUUGAUAUAUUAAAGUUCCAACGGUAAAAGAUGAGCAUGCGUCCCAUUAGUUAGUUGGUAAGGUAACGGCUUACCAAGACGAUGAUGGGUAGGGGUCCUGAGAGGGAGAUCCCCACACUGGUACUGAGACACGGACCAGACUCCAACGGGAGGCAGCAGUGAGGAAUAUUGGACAAUGGGCGCAAGCCUGAUCCAGCCAUGCCGCGUACAGGAAGAAGCAUCUAUGGUGUGUAAACUGCUUUUGUACGGGAAGAAACACCCCUACGUGAAGGGACUUGACUGUACCGUAAGAAUAAGGAUCGGCUAACUCCGUGCCAGCAGCCGCGGUAA
RNAcentral lists this ribosomal RNA (495 nucleotides) under uncultured bacterium. Its description in RNAcentral is "partial 16S ribosomal RNA". It matches the Rfam family "Bacterial small subunit ribosomal RNA", at positions 28 to 523 of the family's 1533-position model. The record is from RNAcentral.